RNAcentral lists this ribosomal RNA (491 nucleotides) under uncultured bacterium. Its description in RNAcentral is "bacterial SSU rRNA". It matches the Rfam family "Bacterial small subunit ribosomal RNA", at positions 28 to 532 of the family's 1533-position model. The record is from RNAcentral.
GACGAACGCUGGCGGCGUGCCUAACACAUGCAAGUCGGACGAAGACUGUAGUAAUACUGUCUUAGUGGCGAACGGGUGAGUAACGCGUGGGUGACCUGCCCCGAAGUGUGGGAUAACAGUCCGAAAGGAUUGCUAAUACUGCAUAAUAUCCAAGAGAUUAGAUGCUUUUGGAUUAAAGGAGUAAUUCGCUUCGGGAGGGGCCCGCGUCCCAUCAGCUAGUUGGUAAGGUAAUGGCUUACCAAGGCGAUGACGGGUAGGGGACCUGAGAGGGUGGCCCCCCACAAUGGAACUGAAACACGGUCCAUACACCUACGGGUGGCAGCAGUAGGGAAUAUUAGUAAUGGGCGAAAGCCUGAUCCAACCAUGCCGCGUGAGUGAUGAAGGCCUUCGGGUUGUAAGACUCUUUCGUACGGGGAAGGAUAAUGACGUACCCGUACGAAGAAGACCACGGCGUAAAUUACGUGCCAGCAGCCGCGGUAAACGUACUACUG